RNAcentral lists this ribosomal RNA (494 nucleotides) under uncultured bacterium. RNAcentral's name for it is "bacterial SSU rRNA". It matches the Rfam family "Bacterial small subunit ribosomal RNA", at positions 28 to 511 of the family's 1533-position model. The record is from RNAcentral.
GAUGAACGCUAGCUACAGGCUUAACACAUGCAAGUCGAGGGGCAGCAUGGUCUUAGCUUGCUAAGGCCGAUGGCGACCGGCGCACGGGUGAGUAACACGUAUCCAACCUGCCGUCUACUCUUGGACAGCCUUCUGAAAGGAAGAUUAAUACAAGAUGGCAUCAUGAGUCCGCAUGUUCACAUGAUUAAAGGUAUUCCGGUAGACGAUGGGGAUGCGUUCCAUUAGAUAGUAGGCGGGGUAACGGCCCACCUAGUCUUCGAUGGAUAGGGGUUCUGAGAGGAAGGUCCCCCCACAUUGGAACUGAGACACGGUCCAAACUCCUACGGGAGGCAGCAGUGAGGAAUAUUGGUCAAUGGACGAGAGUCUGAACCAGCCAAGUAGCGUGAAGGAUGAAGGUCCUACGGAUUGUAAACUUCUUUUAUAAGGGAAUAAAACCUCCACGUGUGGGAGCUUGUAUGUACCUUAUGAAUAAGCAUCGGCUAACUCCGUGCCAG